AAUCAGAGUUGAGCUGUGAUUCACAUCACACAAUUUCUUUUAGCACGGCCCAGCCUCAGACUCACGCGGCUCCUGUCGAGUCACACCUGACGUAGGUGGCCCCAGAUAAAAGACUGGUACCUCACCCUGCAGAUGACAAACUACAUCUCACCAUUAAACUCCAUACUUGAGAAGUUAAAUCGUUUGUAUCAUACAUUUGGUUUAAUUUGUUUAAAUAGCCAGAUUUUACCCAUCAAGAUGGUACUACCUUCAGCUAACCAUUUGAGGAUUACACAAUGCAUCUUAAUAUUUGCCAUCUCAGGUUCCCUGUGGUCAGUCACUCCAGCAGGUAUGAGCACCACCCCAACAACAAAAAAGGUUUUCCAGAUGGGCAUAAAGAUAACCAACCGGGUCUUCAAUGACUCCCUAUUGAAUCCAAAUUCUGAGGACUACAAGAAAUUGUAUGGCGAGGUCAGCCAAUUGCUUGCUGAUGCCUACAAUUCUCCUACAUCCGGAACAGCAUCCACUUAUGAGGGCGUUGCAACAAUGACUUUCAGAAAUGGAUCAGUGAUCGCAAACGCUGACAUAGUUUUCAACACAAUGUCUAUCAAUGGAUUUGUGGUCAAGUUUGAUUUCCUGGAUCAUAUCGAAGCCAAUCCUUCUGCCUCUCUCCAGAUAGAUACAAAUUAUAUUCAAUCAGAAAAUGUUGUGGCUCCAACCUCAACCAUAACCACCCCCACCUCAACCAUAACCACCCCCACCACACCUACUACAACAAUAACUCACAUGACUGCAACCACUACUAACCCACCAACAACCACAACAUUGGCUCCAAAUACAACUAUGAAAAUUCUUACAACUUCUACCUCAUUGGCUCCAAAUACAACUGCGACAAUUCCAACCACAACCACCCUGUUGGUUACAAAUACAACUAUGAACAUUCCUACAAAUUCCACUCCAUUGGUUCUAACUACUUCUACGAAUAUUCCUACAAAUUCCACUCCAUUGGCUCUAACUACUUCUACAAAAAUUCCUACAAAAUUCACCUCAUUGGCUCCAAAUAUAACUGCGACAAUUCCAACCACAACCACCCUGUUGGUUACAAAUACAACUAUGACAAUUCCAACAACUUCCACCACAUUGGCUCUAAAUAGAACUAUUAACAUUCCUACAAAUUCCACUCCAUUGGCUCUAACUACUUCUACAAAAAUUCCUACAAAAUUCACCUCAUUGGCUCCAAAUAUAACUGCGACAAAUACAACUAUGAAAAUUCCAACAAAUUCCACCACAUUGGCUCUAAAUAAAACUAUUAACAUUCCUACAAAUUCAACUCCAUUGGUUCUAACUACUUCUCCGAAUAUUUCUACAAAUUCCACUCCAUUGGCUCUAACUACAACUAUAAACAUUCCUACAAAUUCCACUCCAUUGGUUCUAACUACUUCUCCGAAUAUUUCUACAAAUUCCACUCCAUUGGCUCUAACUACAACUAUAAACAUUCCUACAAAUUCCACUCCAUUGGUUCUAACUACUUCUCCGAAUAUUUCUACAAAUUCCACUCCAUUGGCUCUAACUACAACUAUAAACAUUCCUACAAAUUCCACUCCAUUGGUUCUAACUACUUCUCCGAAUAUUCCUACAAAUUCCACUCCAUUGGCUCUAACUACUUCUACAAAAAUUCCUACAAAAUUCACCUCAUUGGCUCCAAAUAUAACUGCGACAAUUCCAACAACCACCCUAUUGUCUAAAAAUACAACUAUGAAAAUUCCAGCAACUUCCUCCCCAUUGGCUACAAAUACAACUAUGAAAAUUCCAACAAAUUCCACCCCACUGGCUCCAGCUACAACUACCCAAAUUCCAACAACCCCAUUGGCUUCAACUACAACAACAACAUUUCUCACAACUUCCAUCCCAUUGGCUCCAUCUACAAUUACGAAAGAUCCCUCUUUUGGCAAAACCACACAUGAUCCAAUUACCGUAGUAACCUUCUCUUCCACUAAAGGCAGCGGAAAGAGAAACAGUGGUGUACUCCCUACAUCCGGUCCUACAAAUAUGUCAUCUUCAAUGACAACUGGUGGUUCAGGAGGAAACAACAAGACAAUUCAUCCACCCACCACAAGUCAUGGUGCCAGUCCUUCACCUGGGACGGUGGACCCAGAAAAAAACAGUAAGAGACCAAACAUCUCCCCAUCUGGUGGUUUAACCAACCAUCCCCUGAAGCCUUCCAUCGGGCCUCAGUCAAGCACCACAACUAAAUCUAGCACAACUGCCAACACAGCAUCCAGGGAUAAUGGUGGUGGGUUCAGUGACUGGGUACCGGGAUGGGCCAUUGCGCUGUUGGUGUUAGCCGCUGUCAUCCUGCUGCUCCUCAUUAUCAUCUUCAUCAUGAUGGUGGUGCGCUGGUGCUGUAAAAGGUCAGAUGGUCCGUACGCUCAUGAAAAAAAGAGCACCCCCAACAUGGACUCUUUCCCCACAUAUGUCCCCCAAGCCCCUGUACAGGAGCAACCCAAUGGCAAGACCUUUGAGACUAUUGAUGACCCACGAAAGAAGAAAAAAACAGGAAUGUACAUAGUGAACCCCUGAGCAGGAAGAUGUGGAGGUGACAUACCAACAGGCAAACUCUUGUCUGCAGAACAAGAUCUGACAAAGAUGAGCUACAAGCAAAACCAUGUCACAACCUCUGUAGAUACUGUAUAGUUUGUCAGGAAUUGAGUAUGUUAUAUUGGAUGAAAAUUAUCGGAAUGAUUUCAUAGGUUUGUAUUUAUUCCACAAAUCUUGCGCAUAAGUUUUGGGCAACCUUGCUAGUAUUUUUGUAUUGUAUCUGAUGUCGUCAUAUUUGACCCUGUUAUGAACACAACCAGCGUCAAGCUGAUAUAUUUUUUCAGUCUGUUAUAUUCAGAUUUUUCAUUGGCACAUAUCUCAGAUGUUUUGCGUUGCAUCAUGUUCAACUGCUCAAUUGUAUAAUGCUAAAGAUGAAUGUUAAAUCAAAUAUGAAAAUCAGAGUUCCUUAAUUGGUCAGAUAUUUGAAUCGGGAGUUUACAGCAAUGAUGUAUAUGAGCCCUGGAUUGCAGUUGUUAUGUGUUUGCCAUUGACAGGCAUUGAAGCCACUAGUCGGCCAUUUUGGCAUUCCCCAGUUGGAGCAGUCCUUCAUAAGAAUACAUGGAAUUCUACAGUAUUUCAAUUAAAUGUUUCAGGGACAAAAUGACAUGUAUUUAAAUAUUUGUUUGUUGGGACAGUAACAUUGGUGAUCUCAAAAAAAUGUAUAUUUUAUUUGUAAGUUUAGCUCACAUAAUACAAUGUAAAAGUAUGCAAUAAGGUGUCUGAAAUAGAAUAGUUGUGGCAAAAACAAAUUUAGAAAAUAAUAAAUUAAUUUCUGUAGCAUCCAAAAUAUAUUUUUUUACAUUGAGGGAGUGCCAAGAUGGAGGCAUGGUGGCUUCAAUAGAGCCGCCAAAACAGUAUUCUAGUGUGUGUAUAUAUAAAUCAUUGGCUUACAACAUGUGCAGUAAUAAUGUGACAUCUUGAGAAAUGGAAAUAGAUGUAGGUCUGAAUCUUAACUUGACUUGAGUGCCCAUUGAUGUCAAUGGAAGAUUUUCAAAAACUCCAGUUACACGCACAGAUCUCAAGUUAGGAUUUGGGACUUGAGAAUUACACGUGUAAAUAGGAGUACAUUUCUGAGUACUGAGUUUGUAUCAUGUUAUGUACAAUUUAAUGGAAGACUUGUAAAUAAAUGUUGAGAAUCAAGAACCUCUUCUUCAUGGAAGUAUCCUCAUUAAACUGACAG
This is a non-coding RNA of Oncorhynchus mykiss (rainbow trout), 3757 nucleotides long. NCBI's taxonomy places the organism in Eukaryota, Metazoa, Chordata, Actinopteri, Salmoniformes, Salmonidae. The record is from RefSeq and is a predicted model, not a curated record.